GUGGGGAAUCUUGCGCAAUGGGCGAAAGCCUGACGCAGCAACGCCGCGUGCGGGAUGAAGGCCUUCGGGUUGUAAACCGCUUUUAACAGGAACGAAAAUGACGGUACCUGCAGAAUAAGGUGCGGCCAACUACGUGCCAGCAGCCGCGGUGACACGUAGGCACCAAGCGUUGUCCGGAUUUAUUGGGCGUAAAGAGCUCGUAGGCGGUUCAGGUAGUCGGGUGUGAAAACUCUGGGCUCAACCCAGAGACGCCACCCGAUACUCCUGUGACUAGAGUUCGGUAGGGGAGCGGGGAAUUCCUAGUGUAGCGGUGAAAUGCGCAGAUAUUAGGAGGAACACCGGUGGCGAAGGCGCCGCUCUGGGCCGAUACUGACGCUGAGGAGCGAAAGCGUGGGUAGCAAACAGGAUUAGAUACCCUAGUAGUCC
RNAcentral lists this ribosomal RNA (426 nucleotides) under uncultured bacterium. RNAcentral's name for it is "bacterial SSU rRNA". It matches the Rfam family "Bacterial small subunit ribosomal RNA", at positions 354 to 796 of the family's 1533-position model. The record is from RNAcentral.